AAACCAUGAUGAGGACAUUGAAGAAACAAGUCCUUAUAUCGCUCCCAACUUUCAUGAAACUGUUCACCUUCUUGUUGCCGAAAGCUCAUGAUUUCAUUGAUCAGAGC
This is a small nucleolar RNA of Malus domestica (apple), 107 nucleotides long. The record is from RefSeq and is a predicted model, not a curated record. NCBI's taxonomy places the organism in Eukaryota, Viridiplantae, Streptophyta, Magnoliopsida, Rosales, Rosaceae.